Pantherophis guttatus is the source of this 5194-nucleotide non-coding RNA. The record is from RefSeq and is a predicted model, not a curated record. NCBI's taxonomy places the organism in Eukaryota, Metazoa, Chordata, Lepidosauria, Squamata, Colubridae.
AUUUCCGCCGCGGUGCAUCUUGGGUAAACUCACCAGCCGGAUAGACGAGUUGCGGAGGUAGCAGAACAACCAUAGAGAGAAGCCAGAGGCCUCUUGGGUAGAGCGGCGCCCCGAAAUCCUCGGGGUUUUGACAGAAGGAAAAAUAGGAAGAAAAAAAAAAGAACAUGAUGAUGUUAUCUAUGUGGCAAUAAAACAUCUGCAAGAAAACAACCAAGCUCAGAGAGCAACAAGGACCCCACAGAAAAGAACAUGUUGAUAGAAAGCAUCACUAUUCAGCAUCCUGUGGUCAAUGGUCAUCUGAUUGCCAUUUGUGACCCUCACCAUUGGAUUCCUAUUAGCAAAACCAAUGGGAACCCAUCAGGAAGUUGCAAGUGGUGAUUAUGAGAUGCUGCAACCAUAUGGGAUUCAUCUAACAAUAGCAACUGGGAGCACCAGACCUGAUCUUGUAAGUCAAUAUGGUCAUGUGACAUUGUGCCUUAUGACUGUUGCUUAGCAACAGAAUUCCCAGAUCCAAUUACCAUUGUUAAGUGAAAUUGUAGAUGCUCAUACAGGUCAACAGGACCAUUUUAAUGUAUUCAGCAGAAUUUUAGGAAUGAGAAAAGAAGAAAAACCACCAGUAAUGAAAGGAGGAGGAAAUGGAAAGGCAACCAAGGAAAUAGGUAGGAUACACAGGUAGGAUGAACAGAAGGAGCUGGUGUGGGGAAAGAUGUCUUGAACAGAAAAUAAAUUGACACAAGAAACCUAUUAACAAUAGGCUAAUAAAGGGUAAAAUAGAAUAAUGGAGAAGUAAAGAAGGGAUUAAUCAGGGAAAUAAACUUAACCUACUUUUAGAGUCAGUAGAGUUUGCAAUUCCCAGCGGAUAGAAGGGAUACCAAACAAAACAUUUUGCCACCUUCUUAGUAGAUCUUGACUCUUCAGAGGCAAUAGUUAAUAAUACAUACCUACAAUAACUAGGAAAAAAUAAAAAUUGAAAAGAUGAGAUUGCAGUAAUUGUGCUUAGCAGAGCAAACCAUCACCCACCUGGACUUCAGGAACAAAUGAUGAUUCCUUGGGAAAAAAUGUUCCUGAGGGGCCUGAGAAGCAUCAUUCAUUGAUUUAUUUCAUUUAAAUCUGGAGUGUCUAUCCAAGAUCAAGACAAUGUAGCCCCCAAUUUUAUCCCUGCAAAAUCUAGCAAUGGCUCUAAAAUCAUUCACUUAUGUGAUCAAGUGAGAACUUGAACUCAAGUAUCCAAAGCAAAUUACCUAUUAACUAUCCAUAAAAUUUAAUUACCUAUGAUGCCAUGUUAGCCAUGAUUUCAAAACAUAGCAAAAUAAUAUUAAGACUUUUGUAUAAAAGUCUGACAUAGUUGGCAGUCUACUCAACAUGAGUCUUUGAUCCUGUAAGCUACCAUAGCUCUUACUGUGAAAAUAACUUCAAGGAGUAUAUAACAAUACAUGCAAAAAUUGAUCUAAAUCUAGAGUGAUGAUUAAGCUAAAAGCGAUUUAAAAGUUUUUUUUAAAAAAAGGAGAACAAAAAACUUAAUCCAAAUUCUGGGAGGUCUUUCCACAUUUGAAUAUUUUUUCUAUGUCAUUGACUGCCACAGAAUACUUCUUAAAUUGGGGAUAUUUAUUUGUUUGUUUGUUUGUAUCCCACCUCUAUUAUUUUUACAAAUAACAGCAGAUGGCAAACAUAUCCAAUAUACCUUUCUCUGCCUGUUUUCCCCCACAACAGCAACAACUCUAUACAGUGGGUUUUGCUGACAGAGAGUGAUUGGCCCAAAGUCACCCAGUUGGCUUUCAUAACUAAGGUGGGACGAGAAGUCAUGGUUUCUGACUUUCUAACCUGGUGACUUAACUACCAAACCAAGCUAGCUCUUAUUGAAUCCAAUUUCUCCCAAGUCCUUAAUCUCUUCUGUUUUAUGUUAUUUUAUAUUAUAUUACACAUUGGCAAAAAAAAUCAGAACACCAAAUACAAGCUGGGUGGAUACAACCUCGUAGACGACUCUCACUCUGUCAAGGACCUUGGAGAACUCAUCUCAAACGAUCUAAGUGCCAGAGCUCACUGUAACAGCAUUGCCAAAAAGGCAUUAACAGUUGUUAACCUAAUCUUGCGAAGCUUCUUCUCUGGUAACAUUGUACUGCAAACUAGGGCAUACAAAACCUUUGCUAGAUGAAUUCUCGAAUACAGCUCAUCUGCCUGGAAUCCGCACUAUAUAUCGGACAUUAAUACAAUUGAGUGAGUCCAGAGGUAUUUCAUGAGAAGAGUACUCCACUCCUCUGAUCACAACAGAAUACCUUAUGCCACCAGGCUUGAAAUUUUGGGCUUGGACAACCUAGAACUAAGCCGCCUACGGUCUGACCUAAGCGUAGUACACAAAAUUAUCUGCUACAACAUCCUACUUGUCAAUGACUACUUCAGCUUCAAUCGCAAUAAUACACGAGCACACAAUAGAUACAAACUCAAGGUAAACCGCUCCAAACUCGAUUGCAGAAAAUACGACUUCAGCAACAGAGUGGUCAAUGCCUGGAAUGCACUACCUGACUCUGUUGUUACAUCCCCAAAUCCCCAUAAUUUUAACCUUAGACUUUCUACUGUAGACCUCACCCCAUUCCUAAGAGGUCUGUAAGGGGCGUGCAUAAGCGCACCAACGUGCCUACCAUCCCUGUCCUACUGUCCUCAUUUAUUCGUACCCAUUUCCUUUGUUCAUAUUCAUCUUUAUACUUAUACCUGUUAUCUCUUACAUGUUUGACAAACUAAAUAAAUAAAUAAAAUAAAUACAAUUAAAUCAGAACCACUGGUGCAACAUCUAGAUUCUUCUAAAAUCUUGUCUAUGAAAGAAUAAAAUCAAUAAAUAAGGAAAUGAAUGAUAACACAACUUGGGAUCCAAAAGAUAUAGCAUCCAUUGCAAAGAUAGAGUUAGCAAUGCUUAAAGAGCCAUAGUGGCUCACUGGUUAGAAUGCAGUAUUGCAAGUUAAUUCUGCUAAGUGCCGAUUGCCAGCCGUUCAGCACUUCAAUUCUUACCAGUUCGAUAUUGACUCAGUCUUCCAUCCUUCUGAGGUCGAUAAAAUGAGGACCCAGAUUGUUGGGGGCAAUAAGCUGAUUCUGUAAACUGCUUAGAGAGGGCUGUAAAGCACUGUGAAGCGGUAUAUACGUCUAAGUGCUAUUGCUAUUAAGAGAUGUAGUCAGUCAAAGAUGUUACAAACCUCUUGUGUUGGAAAUCCAUGUAACCUUGAAUUAAUUACAAUAAUUGGGACUGGAAUUUCCAUCACUAAGCCAAGCAGUUACAAAGUGUGUCAUCACAUAACCAUGCCAGUUAGUGACGGCCACUUAGGCACUUCCAGUUGCCACUGUUAAGUGAAUUCAAUGCCACUUUUAAGUGCAGCUGCCAUUUGUGACCUCCUGAUGACUUCCCCAUUAACUUUGCUUGUCAGAAGCCAGCAAAUGGCAAUCACAGGAUUAUGUGAUGCUAUGAUGUCAAAUUGUGAGCUGGUUCUUAAGUGCCUAGAUCAUGAUUAUGUGACCACAGGGACAUUUGUGAUGCCCAGAGCUCCUAGAAUCAGUUUUAAGUUCCACUCAGUCAGCACCAUCAUAACCUUGAACAAGUGGUUGUUAAGCAAGGGCUAACUGUAUAGCUGAUAUGCCAGGCAAGGAAAGUCCAGUUAAACAAGCACAUUCAUUAUUUAGUAGAUCAUCUUCCUUCUGAUUUGCUACCUCUUUUAUAUUUCAACAUCAUCAGACAUUUAAAAAGUACUAUAAUGGAUUUUGCAAGUGGUUCGGUAAUUUAUUCUUCUAUGGCUUCUAAUCAAAAUUUCAUCAUAUUAUAUUGUGCUGGUAAGAAUUGUGAGUGAUACCUAUAAUGAACAAAGCAUAUUACAAAGCACCUUUUCUUUUACAAUAAAUUAUUCAGACAUUUAUGUUAAUACUAUGGUCAUAUCUCUGUUUUUAAAAAAUGCUUGUGGUUUACUUGCUUGCUUGAGGAGACAUUUCCAUGCAUGCAGCAUUAAAAAAAAGCUGUCAGUCCUAGGGAAUGGCCCUUCAAUUAUUUAAUUGUUCUGUUUCCUUGCCAGAAGUUUUCCUAAAGAAAAUGAAUAAGAGAUAUGCUCAGAAACAGAAACCUGCCAUCUAAAUUGGAUCGGAUCCUGUAAGCAAGUAGGGCUUUUUCAGGUAAAAGAGUCAACUGAUUCUAAUUUUGUGGCCUUAUUUUACUUUAAUUUCCAAAAUUUCUGAUUCCAUAUAGAAUGGUCAAUGCCUAACUUUCAAAAUUAACUGUAUUGCCUCCUACUAAUUAUUUUUCAGCAACGAUUAUGUCAUUUCUAUAAUGAUAAAGAGCAACAGGUGUUCAUCAGAACAUUUUAACCUGAGAAGACUGAUAAUUACAACAAUAGAAUCCAAGUUACUGGAGAUAAGGGGAAAUCUGAAAAAAGAAAGCUAACAUAAUUAAACUUAAAGGCAUUUAAGUUAUGUGUAUAUAAAAUAAUAUAAUGCACUUUUAGUGUGUAUUUUUCACCAUAUUAGGUAACUUGAGUCAUUAGGACAUUGCUAAAUGAUUUCAACUUUGUAUAUUUCAUCCCUAUCCAUCCUUGUUCAUCUACAAGGUUUCCUCCUGUUAUAUCGUUAUUCCUUAAAAUUCAGUCCAAUCAGGGAAAAUUGGAUAUGAUGUGUAUUUUAGGGAAAUGUUAUAAGCAAGUUAGCAUUUCUAGAGAAAAAUAAUUCAAAUCUUAAGAAGGCUAUUUUUGUUGUAAUAGAUUUUCUCUUUUUUAAACAAAAUGUGCUCAAGGGUAUUUAUAAAAAAUUGUGUAAAGAUUAUUUUCUAUCAAUUCUGUAAACAGCAACCUAAAUUCAUUCACUGCAAAUAACUAGUUUUAGCAAGUCUGCAUUAAGCAACUAUACCCAAGUUCUAUUUAUUUUUAAUAUCUUUUAUUAUUGGAAACAUGUUUUGUAAAAUAGAAUAUAAAAGCAUCUUCUCUGAAUGGUGUGUAUUUUUCAAUACUUUUCAGGCAAUGUAAUCUUACUGUGCAAUUAAUGAGUGAAAACAAUAUUUUUGAGAACAUGCCAUAACAUAUUUCAUAAAUACAUUGAAAAAAUAUGUUCUAAAAAGUAUUAGACUAUUUUACAGAAUUAAUAACCUUAAAUAUUUCUCUCAUUCUGUUCUUGUUUUAAAUGCCCUACACCUGUACAUUAAAGGAGCAGAAUUAAAAUUAUUUUGAAGAUCCAA